Thunnus maccoyii (southern bluefin tuna) is the source of this 590-nucleotide long non-coding RNA. RefSeq lists it as uncharacterized. Lineage: Eukaryota; Metazoa; Chordata; Actinopteri; Scombriformes; Scombridae. The transcript has 3 exons. The record is from RefSeq and is a predicted model, not a curated record.
CUCCUUCUUUCUGCACGGGGGACAAAACAAUCCACAUUCAUAUCAGAAGAGAUGUUAAAAGAAGAGCUGCAUAUCAGUAUUGAUGAUAUUUGUCUAUCUGCAUUCCCCUGCACGAUCCUACCACUGCGACUGUUUUGAUCCAGAAUUUUACGCUGUGAUGCGCCAUUAAGCCAAGAUUCUGUCUAAACAAAAGAAAAUGAGGUUCAUUUGCAGGAAGAAAAGCAUCUGACUGACUGACAGGACUGAGGAGCUGCGGCUGAGGAGGGUCAGGAGGGAGAGGGAAGAGAGGCUGAAGGGGUGAGAUGGAAGACCUUGAAGGACAUCAGGGAGCGCCUAAUAGAGGCUGUGAGGGCUGUAGAGAGGAAGAUGGUCACUCUCAAGAACAGACUGGCUUGCUGGCAGCUCCUUCACCGGGCUGGCUGCCUGAAGAACUGACGGCUGGAGGAUGAGGUGGAGAGGCUUGACAGGCAGCUGGCCAUUACGCUGAGUGUGUUGUAGAAGCUCUUCUACAGCCAGAAACAAAAUAACCAUCCAAACCACAGUGCUGCUGCUGGCGACUAGACCAUAUAAGGAAUUUAGCUCCCGGCAUU